UGGGGAAUAUUGGACAAUGGAGGCAACUCUGAUCCAGCAAUUCUGUGUGUGUGAAGAAGGUUUUAGGACUGUAAAACACUUUUAGUAGGGAAGAAAGAAAUGACGGUACCUACAGAAGAAGCGACGGCUAAAUACGUGCCAGCAGCCGCGGUAAUACGUAUGUCGCGAGCGUUAUCCGGAAUUAUUGGGCUUAAAGGGCAUCUAGGCGGUUAAACAAGUUGAAGGUGAAAACCUGUGGCUCAACCAUAGGCUUGCCUACAAAACUGUAUAACUAGAGUACUGGGAAGGUGGGUGGAACUACACGAGUAGAGAUGAAAUUCGUAGAUAUGUGUAGGAAUGCCGAUGAUGAGGAUAACUCACUGGACAGCAACUGACGCUGAAGUGCGAAAGCUAGGGGAGCAAACAGG
Molecule: ribosomal RNA, 407 nt
Filed under: Verrucomicrobiota bacterium
Lineage: Bacteria; Pseudomonadati; Verrucomicrobiota
Description: Verrucomicrobia bacterium partial 16S ribosomal RNA
Rfam family: Bacterial small subunit ribosomal RNA
Source: RNAcentral